UGCAAGUCGAACGAUGAAGCUGCCUGCUUGCAGGUGGUGGAUUAGUGGCGAACGGGUGAGUAUCACGUGAGUAACCUGCCCUUGACUCUGGGAUAAGCCCGGGAAACUGGGUCUAAUACCGGAUAUGACCUCUCAUCGCAUGGUGGGGGGUGGAAAGUUUUUAACGGUCUUGGAUGGGCUCGCGGCCUAUCAGCUUGACGGUGGGGUAGUGGCCUACCGUGGCUUUGACGGGUAGCCGGCCUGAGAGGGUGACCGGCCACACUGGGACUGAGACACGGCCCAGACUCCUACGGGAGGCAGCAGUGGGGAAUAUUGCACAAUGGGCGCAAGCCUGAUGCAGCGACGCCGCGUGCGGGAUGACGGCCUUCGGGUUGUAAACCGCUUUCAGUACAGAAGAAGCCCUUUUUGGGUGACGGUAUGUGCAGAAGAAGCGCCGGCUAACUACGUGCCAGCAGCCGCGGUAAUACGUAGGGCGCGAGCGUUAUCCGGAAUUAUUGGGCGUAAAGAGCUUGUAGGCGGUUUGCCGCGUCUGCUGUGAAAGCCCGGGGCUUAACUCCGGGUGUGCAGUGRGUACGGGCAGGCUAGAGUGCAGUAGGGGAGACUGRAAUUCCUGGUGUAGCGGUGAAAUGCGCAGAUAUCAGGAGGAACACCGAUGGCGAAGGCAGGUCUCUGGGCUGUUACUGACGCUGAGAAGCGAAAGCAUGGGUAGCGAACAGGAUUAGAUACCCUGGUAGUCCAUGCCGUAAACGUUGGGCACUAGGUGUGGGGGACAUUCCACGUUUUCCGCGCCGUAGCUAACGCAUUAAGUGCCC
Molecule: ribosomal RNA, 812 nt
Filed under: Nesterenkonia sp.
Lineage: Bacteria; Bacillati; Actinomycetota; Actinomycetes; Micrococcales; Micrococcaceae
Description: bacterial SSU rRNA
Source: RNAcentral